AUUCAGUUGAUGAAUUCCAAAUAGGAUGAAACGCUCGUCCUGGAU
RNAcentral lists this non-coding RNA (45 nucleotides) under Schistosoma mattheei. Lineage: Eukaryota; Metazoa; Platyhelminthes; Trematoda; Strigeidida; Schistosomatidae. The record is from RNAcentral.